UUUCACCUGAAAGACGAGGGACAGAAUUUCUCCUAUUAUGAUUACUAGCCUCUGAUACCUUGUUUAAUUUCACAAAACAAGAAUCACAGACACGAUAUGGUUUGCCAGGAUUAGGAGCUAAGGCUGCUCUUGUUGCCUUUCUGGAACUGCAUGAAUGGCAGUGCACAAGUCCACAAUUAUAGCAGUUAUGCCUCUUUCUCGUGAACCCAAAAGCUUGUCUACAUGAUGAGCACUGUGACUGCUCAGCACCAGAUACCCA
RNAcentral lists this unclassified non-coding RNA (259 nucleotides) under Hevea brasiliensis (rubber tree). The record is from RNAcentral. Lineage: Eukaryota; Viridiplantae; Streptophyta; Magnoliopsida; Malpighiales; Euphorbiaceae.